RNAcentral lists this ribosomal RNA (498 nucleotides) under uncultured eukaryote. RNAcentral's name for it is "SSU rRNA". It matches the Rfam family "Eukaryotic small subunit ribosomal RNA", at positions 619 to 1133 of the family's 1831-position model. The record is from RNAcentral.
UUAAAAAGCUCGUAGUUGGAUUUCUGGGAAGGCGCCAAUGCUAGCUUCUUGCUUUCGCAACGGCACCUUUCCAUCCUUCUGUUAGCGCCUCUUGGCAUUCAUUUGCUGGUGGCGGGCUCAGAUAUUUUACCUUGAGAAAAUUAGAGUGUUUCAGGCAGGCUACGCCGGAAUACAUUAGCAUGGAAUAAUGGAAUAGGUCUGAGGUCUCUUUGUUGGUUUGAGGGACUCCAGUAAUGAUUAAUAGGGACAGUUGGGGGCAUUAGUAUUUAUUAGUCAGAGGUGGAAUUCUAUGAUUUGAUAAAGACUAACUUAUGCGAAAGCAUUUGCCAAGGAUGUUUUCAUUAAUCAAGAACGAAAGUUAGAGGAUCAAAGACGAUCGGAUACCGUCCUAGUCUUAACCAUAAACUAUGCCGACUCGGGAUUGGGAGUGAGAACUAUCCGCUCUCAGCACCGUACGAGAAAUCCAAAGUCUUUGGGUUCUGGGGGGAGUAUGGUCCA